UGAAGCCUGCGGUUCAAUUGGAGUCAACGCCAGGAAACUUACCAGGAGAGACAGCAGGUUGAGGGUCAGUCUGAAGAACUUACCUGACGAGCUGAGAGGAGGUGCAUGGCCGUCGCCAGCUCGUGCCGUGAGGCGUCCUGUUAAGUCAGGCAACGAGCGAGACCCCUAUCGGUAAUUGCUAACUGCUCAGAGAUGGGCAGAGGCUAGUUACAGAGACUGCCGUUGAUAAAACGGAGGAAGGAAGGGGCCACGGCAGGUCAGUAUGCCCCGAAACUCCUGGGCCACACGCGGGCUGCAAUGGUAGGGACAAUAGGUUCCGACCUCGAAAGAGGAAGGCAAUCCCCAAACCCUACCCCAGUUGUGAUCGAGGAUUGAAACCCGUCCUCGUGAAUAUGGAAUCCCUAGUAACCGCGUGUCAUCACCGCGCGGUGAAUACGUCCCUGCUCCUUGC
Molecule: ribosomal RNA, 451 nt
Filed under: uncultured archaeon
Lineage: Archaea
Description: bacterial SSU rRNA
Rfam family: Archaeal small subunit ribosomal RNA
Source: RNAcentral